UCUGGUUGAUCCUGCCAGUAGUCAUAUGCUUGUCUCAAAGAUUAAGCCAUGCGUGUCUAAGUAUAAAUAGUAUACAGUGAAACUGCGAAUGGCUCAUUAAAACAGUUAUAGUUUAUUUGAUAAUUGACAAUUACAUGGAUAACCGUGGUAAUUCUAGAGCUAAUACAUGCUUAAACGCCCGACUUUAUGGAAGGGUGGUAUUUAUUAGACUGAAGCCAAUAUUCCUUGUGUCUAUUGCGGUGAUUCAUAAUAACUGAUCGAAUCUCUUUUUGAGAUAAAUCAUUCAAGUUUCUGCCCUAUCAGCUUUCGAUGGUAGUGUAUUGGACUACCAUGGCAGUAACGGGUAACGAAGAAUUAGGGUUCGAUUUCGGAGAGGGAGCAUGAGAAACGGCUACCACAUCUAAGGAAGGCAGCAGGCGCGUAAAUUACCCAAUCCUGACUCAGGGAGGUAGUGACAAGAAAUAGCAAACCGGGAACCUCAUGGUUUCACGGUAUUGCAAUGAGAACAAUUUAAAACCCUUAGCGAGAAUCAAGUGGAGGACAAGUCUGGUGCCAGCACCCGCGGUAAUUCCAGCUCCACUAGCGUAUAUUAAAGUUGUUGCAGUUAGAAAGCUCGUAGUUGAACCUCUGUCUGGGGCUAGUUUUGGCUUUGGUCAGGCUAGUUCUAGGCAUCCGCCUACAAGACUUAGAGGGCAUUCAGUUGUUCACUAGGAGGAGUAGGCAUUUUACUUUGAAAAAAUUAGAGUGUUUAAGGCAGGCAAUCGCCCGCAUAUAUUAGCAUGGAAUAAUAGAAUAGGACACUUUUCCAUUUCGUUGGUUAUUGGAAUCGUGUAAUGAUUAAUAGGGACAGUUGUGGGCAUUUGUAUUUAAUUGUCAGAGGUGAAAUUCUUGGAUUUAUUAAAGACAAACUAACGCGAAAGCAUUUGCCAAGGAUGUUUUCAUUAAUCAAGAACGAAAGUUAGGGGAUCAAAGACGAUCAGAUACCGUCCUAGUCUUAACUAUAAACUAUUCCGACUCAAUGUUUGACUGGCUUAUAUAACCAGUUGAGCGUUGUAUGAGAAAUCAAAGUCUUUAGGUUCUGGGGGGAGUAUGGUUGCAAAGCUGAAACUUAAAGGAAUUGACGGAAGAGCACAACCAGGAGUGGAUUCUGCGGCUUAAUUUGACUCAACACGGGGAAACUUACCAGGUUAAAACAAUAGUGGGAUUGACAGUUUGAGAGCGCUUUCUUGAUUGGUUGGGUGGUGGUGCAUGGCCGUUCUUAGUUGGUGGAGUGAUUUGUCUGCUUAAUUGCGUUAACGAACGAGACCUUAACCUGCUUACUAGACUGGCGAUCAUCAAUCGUUAGCUCUUCUUAGAGGGAC
Molecule: ribosomal RNA, 1361 nt
Filed under: metagenome
Description: SSU rRNA
Rfam family: Eukaryotic small subunit ribosomal RNA
Source: RNAcentral